Molecule: long non-coding RNA, 2211 nt
Filed under: Marmota monax (woodchuck)
Lineage: Eukaryota; Metazoa; Chordata; Mammalia; Rodentia; Sciuridae
Source: RNAcentral
AUGGGUUCAAGAACUAUAUUGCACAGGACUGAUGAGAGUAUAUAUCCUUGUCUUAUUCCUGAUUUUAGAGAAAAUGUCGUCUUCAUUAAGUAUAAUGUUGGCUUUAGGUUUGUCAUAUAUUUAUAAUGUUUGAGAUCAAUUUCUUCUAUCCCUAGUUUCUCCAAUGUUUUUUUUUUUUUUUUGAGAGAGAGAGAGAGAGAGAGAGGGAGAGAGAGAAUUUUUAAUAUUUAUUUUUUAGUUUUCAGUGGACACAACAUCCCUGUAUGUGGUGCUGAGGAUCAAACCCAGGCCGCACGCAUGCCAGGUGAGCGCGCUACCGCUUGAGCCACAUCCCCAGCCCCUCUCCAAUGUUUUUAACAUGGACGGGUGUUGGAUUUUAUCAAAGGUCUUUUCUGCAUCUGUUGAGAUGAUCAUAUGAUUCUUGUCCUUAACUCUAUUUAUAUGGUGAAUUACAUUAGUUGAUUUGCAUUUAUUGAACCAACCUUAUUUUGGAAAAUGUUGUAUAAGCUGCUGAGAAGGAAGUAAAUUCAGCAGCUUUGGGGUGUAAUAUUCUGUAAGUAUGUCUUAGAUCCAUUUGACUUAUAGUAUUAUUUAGGUCGGAAUAUCUUUAUUAAUUUAUGUUUGAAUGGCAUGUUUAUUGGUGAUAAGAGUGUGUUGAAACCACUCUGCAUUGUUGUAUUGGAGUUAACUGGGAUUUAAUGUCAAGAAGUAUUAUUUUAUGUAGUUAGGUACCCUGACAUUUGGGGGCGUAUAUAUUUACUAUCAUAUCUUCUUGUAGGAUUGUUCCCUUUCCCACUAUGUAGUGGCCUUCUUGUCUCUUCUGAUGAGCUUUUGCUUGAAAUCUGCUUUGUCAGAAAUAAUAGUAGCUACUCUUGCUUGUUUUUGGACUCCAUUUUCACAAUUUUUUACCCCCAUCCUUUUACUUUCAGCCUGUGGGAGUAUCUUUGCCUAUGAGUCUCUUGCAAAAGCAUAUAAUUGGAUAUCUUGCUUUUAAUCCAUUCUGCUAAUCUAUGUCUUUUAAUUGAGGAAUUGAGACCAUUUACAGUCAGUGUUGUUGUGCAGAGAUGUUUGUUGUUUCCUGCCAUUUCAGUUCAUUGGUUGUACUUACUUCUGUUUUGGUUUUCAUUUAUUUGGUUGCUGUCCCUAGUGAUCUUCAUCUUUCUGGGGGCUUUGGGAUUUGGGGGGGGGGUUCUGUAUGCAGCAUAUCUUCGAAUAUUGUAUGCUAUGCUGAUUUCGUGCUCAUGAAUUUUUUUAGUUUAUCCUGAUACGGAACAUUCUUGUUUCUCCACUGAUUUUGAAAGAGAGCUUUGCUGGAUAGAGCAAUCUUGGCUGAUAAAUGUUUUCUUUUGGAGCUUGGAAUAUCUCCUUGAUUUCAGGGUCUGAGUUAAGAAGUCAGAAUGGAGCCUUAUUGGCUUGACUCUAAAAGUGACCUGAUAUUUUUUCUUUUGCAGCUUUUAACACUUAUUUAUUUUCUAUAUUAGGUGUUUUUAUUAUGAGGUAUCUUGGAGUGAUUCUUUUUGAUCUUGUCUAUUUGCUAUUCUAUAUGCAUCCUGUAUGUGAUGGUCCAUCUCAUUUCUAAGGCGAGGAAAUUUUUCUGCUAUUGUCUCACUGAAGAGUUUCUUAAUGUCUUUAGCCUGUAUCUCCUGUUCUCUUCUGUCCAAGUGACUCUCAAGUUUGUUCUCUGAAUGCUGUCCCAGAGGUCUUGUAUAUUCUGAUCAUGGUUUUUUAAAUUUUAUUUAUUUAUUUUAUCACUUACUGAGUAUUCAAGUUUAUAUAUCUGUCUUUAAGGCCUAAAGUUCUAUUUUCUAUGCAAUCUAAAUUGUUGGUGAUGCUUUCAAGUGAAUUUCUAAUUGGAUUAAUUGUGUCUUUCUUUUCCAGGAGUUCUGACUGGUUUCUUUUUAAUAUGCCAAUUUAUUUAUUAAAAUGAUCUUUCAUCUUCUGUAUUUUCUCUCUUUAUUCAUUCCUUAGAUCUUCUUUUAGUUCAUCAAAUAUUAAUGAUCAGGUUUUUUUUUUUUCUUUGUGUGUGUGUGUAUAUGUGUGUGUUGUGUGUGUGAGGUGUGCUUGCACAGUGUGUGUUGCGUCGUGCCUUGGUGAGCAGAGCUGGUGGCCUGAGUGGCGGGACAGCCCCCAUGCUAAUCAAGAUGCCUACAGAGAGCAAAGCUUAGCUUCCCCAUCAAAGCUAACAGCGAGUCCCUUGGGGGCGGUUGGAGC